RNAcentral lists this unclassified non-coding RNA (21 nucleotides) under Chlamydomonas reinhardtii. RNAcentral's name for it is "small RNA Cre_4093". Lineage: Eukaryota; Viridiplantae; Chlorophyta; Chlorophyceae; Chlamydomonadales; Chlamydomonadaceae. The record is from RNAcentral.
UUUAGAAGCACACUCUUGUGC